CCUGCCCCACGGAGGGGAGGGGUGUCUGCGAGGGGACUCUGCGGCCUCAGGGGGCUGGCCGAGCCUCGGCGCCUGAAGGCUUUUUCCUCUCGGUGAAAACGCGGUCUUGGCGCACAUCCUUCCGUCGGGCGUCGGUGGGGCUGCUGCCGGCGUCAGUCCCACAUCUGUUCACCCGAGCGGUGAGAUCCGGGUGGCAAAUAGCGAUGGGGGGACGCGCAGGAAACGAAGGAGAGGUUGGGACUCCUGCUGCCGGGCCACCGCCGUCCUUCGCCCCUGGCAGCAGCACCCCGGCGCUGGAGGAGCCCCGUGUACCCCUGGAUAGCACCCCCGGGGCAGGGACGGCCGCGCGUUCCAGCUGGGAGGCCGCAGAGGUGCUGGGAUGGGGCGGUGGCGAGGGCCUGGGUGCUCUGCCCUGGACCAGGGAAAGUACAGAAGUACAGGAGAAGGAGCUGCUGCAGUUUCACCCUUUAAUGCCAAGUAUUUAACAUGGAGGUUACGGAGCUAUGGAAUUGUUGGCUGGAAGCGACCUCUGGAGGUCUCCAACCCAAAGGCCCCAUCGGAGCGGGACCCAUGGACACCAGGUUACAUACAGCCACUUCUGAAAACCUCCAGGGCUGAAAACUCCUCUGCCUCCCUAGGGAUGACCAAUGGCCGUGCUGUCUCACUACCUUGACAAGAAUAUUCUCCUGGGUUCAGUCUGCCCCUCCCACUGACCCUUUAGCCAUCACUCCCAGCUGUGUUGUCUCUUUUGUGUUAAUAACUGCCCUUGAGCAGUUGUAAACUGCUGUUAUAUUUGGCCUCAGCCCGUGCCUCACCUUGUGCACAGGGUGCUGGACCCUCUUCUUCUCGAUGGCUCUUUUGAAUGAGGGCAAGGAGUUGUUAAUAACAGGUUAAGCAUCUUCUUUGUGAUAUUUAUAGGUUGUUGUGCUACAGAAAAAGGGAUGAGGAUGCAGCCUAUUUUUAGGAGGUAUUCCUGAAGCUUUACUGGGGACUGAGAGCCUGAAGAAAUGUCUGGGUCAUCAUAGUCCCGUGUCACCUCACUACAGCUGGUACAGACUGCUGUUUCACAGCUGCUCCAGCCGAGUGUCAGGACUGCCUUGGGUCCAGAAAGCCCUUUUUUGUCCUUGGUGGAAACACUACCUGAAAAGAUAGUAGGCAAACAGACCAUGAUGGAAGAGGGGGGGGCAGGGAAGAGAGCAGGGGGAAGGAGGUCCUGCCCUCUGUAGAAGCGCCUGGGUUGACGUAUGCAAUGGGAUAACAGGGAGAGGGAUGCUCUGACUUUCAUCUGUGGCCACAGAGCAAACUGCAGGCUCCACAGUGUCUUGUGGGGACAAGAUCUUUCAAACCCACGCUGAGCGCAUUUCUGUGAUUUAGUGUAGUUGGGCACGCUUGUAUUAUCGGAGCUACAGACACUUAGGCGCUGCGCAAUUCUCUGCUACUGCAGCAACUAAGGGGAGUAACAGGGGUCCCAGAUACAGAGAAAAAGAUGCUGGAGAAGAUGCACUUCUACACUUGGGUGUCUGUACAUCCACAAUAUUGCUUCUCUCCCUGUUUAUACAAAGAGAAAUUCAGGAUAACAGUCCCGUUCCUGUCAAACUACAUGAAAGUAGCAGGACAGUAUUUGUAUCUUCCCAGUCUGGUUCCAAAUAACCUCUCCAUAUGCUAUUUGCAUUUCAAUAGCUUUCCAAGCCUCUGGUAAUUGGUGGUGGAGGAGGCGGGUAAAAUGGCUAUUAUUAUAUUAGUGUUGGAUCAGCUUUAGCAAGCCUGAAGGCAUGAGAGAGUAUCAUGCAGCUGAUGUAACCCGUGACAGUGUAUUGUUUGCCAUUCUGUGUGAACCUGGGGUGUGCGCCGAUGCCUGGGAGUUGAUUCAUAAUUACAAAGAGAUGAAUGAAUGCAGCUUUGAAUGGGCAGGAAGGCAGUAGCAGUGCUGCACUCCGAAGCUGGAGAGAAACAGGGCGGUAUGAACCAGGAAUGCAUAUUGGAAUCAUGCAUCUGGCUAAACUCCCUGGCGUGCAAGGGUGCCAUCCCUGCCUGGAUGUCAUGCCCAGCUGGAGCUGGGGCUGUGUGCGGCAGGCACAAGUUGUGUCUUUAAGGAGGCUGAGCCCAAGGCAGCUGGAAAGUCUGGGCCCAGGCCAGCAAGUGACUCAGCAUCGCCUGACCUGUGCCCGGGAGCCAAGGCUAUUCUUGGUUCAGGCCGUGUUUAAGGCAGCUGAGCUUGAAUGCUUCCAAAUUGCACCAUAGAGGAUGUGUUGUGAGGCAGGAGCCUCAAACAAAACAGGUUGUUUGGAGCUGCAGUGCCGUCUGCCUGUUGGAUCAGUCCAAGCUCAAUGGAGCUGUGACCUUUCCAUUUUCUUCUCCUGAGCUAGAUUAAAGCAGUAAUCUAUAAAGAGUGAAAUAAAGAGUCAUCAGAGAAACUCUCAGUAAAAAAAUAUACUCACUUUCCAUUAUAUUUUAACAGGUGUCAUGUUCAGCUCUUCUUGCUGCCACUGAAAAUCUGCUCCCUGGGCUUAGCACACUUUUUUCUAACUGAGCAAAAAUAUGUGAAGGGGAAAUGUUGAUUGGGAAAGGUAAUACUGGAUCACACAAAAUUCAGAAUCUUUUUCUUCCUAAAACUAUCAAAAUAAUUUAGCGGGCUCAGAACAUGUAAUCCAUUAGAUCUCAGAGCCUUUCACAGGCACUAAUCAAUUGCCCUCAGUAAAUGAUAGACCCAUAAAAAGCAUCAAUUUAGCUACUACUGAAGUGCUGCUGUUUUAAAAGCAGAACAAGCUGUUGUAGCAAUGCACAACCUUGCCACACAGUUAUCUGGGAUGGAAAAUUAAAAUACACAAUUUAAAGCAUGUAAUUUCAGGGGCUGAACUAUGUUUCAACCUUAGUCUAUCUCCUGCCUAAGGUAUUCUUUUAUGGCACUAUUUUCAAAUACAACAAUUUUUAAGUAAAUCAUUUGCUAAUUUGGGGGAACUUUUAAAUUCAUUAAUGAAGCUAGAAUAUAUUUGGCCAGAUUUUGUAAGUGUCUUGUUUUCUAAAGUCUUGAUUAAAGUUAUGAUCCAAGUGGUUCCUUAAAAAAAAAAAAAAAAAGAAAGAAAAAAGAGAGAGCAAAAAAAAAAGGGGCAAGCAGUAGUCAUAGAGGAGCGCUACAAGCAGACGUCAGCCUGCACUACCCAGCAGCCCGCAGCUACAGGACUCAAGGGUAUUCCCGACCUCUUCAGUCACAGCUGCAUCACCAUGCAGAAGGAAGGAGUAGGUUUUCCUGAGCAAUGGGAUGGCGGGUCGCCAUGCUGCCAGCUCUGGUCCUGUGCCAGAGCUGACAUCCCGCAGACUUUUCUCCUCCAGUGCCAGCAGCUGAGCAGAAGGAAGUGGCUCCAGGACACGGUUCGCCCAGCUUGCGGCGUUCUGUGCUGAAUGCAGGGAGUUGCCUGGUGGAAGUCACAGCUGAGUAGAGCUCCCUGUAAACAGCCUUACCUGCUCCUCACUGCCUGCCAAGUGUUGAGUACUACUUGGUAUAACCCUCUUCCCAGAGAGCCUCUGGUCUGUUUCCUUGCAGAACCAAUGCAUUGGGGAAUAUUUAUACAAGGUAAUUUUAAGUCUGUCAGUUUUCUGGCAACACUAGCUGUCUAGACUACUGCUAUAAUCAAAGGUGAGAGGUAGGUUCCUAAUUACAAUUAAUCACACCCACCCUAAAAGAUCCCUUGUCUGUGUGGAGAGUGCAGGCACCUUACAUAGGUGAUUAAAAUGGUUUUGACUGUUCCCGGUUGUGUACUGCGUCUGCCAGGCGACUGCAAAUGAAUGCCUCACCUCGGGUAAGUCAAAUGCUUCAGCUGCCCUCUUAAAGGAGAAAUGUUAGUAGUACUCAGAUGGAAAUUAACUAGAGAGUGCAUUUAUUUUUGGCCAGUUCCCUGGGAGCACCUGCCAAGCACUUGGUCUCAUUUCAAACCUGGUUGUUCCUGCUGAGAAAGUCUGGUGGAGAUUCAAGUCUGGGUCAAGGAUUACAGCCAAUUGGUUAAACCAAAGGGUUUGUGUGCCUGUCUGAAACUGGAGUGAGCAGCAAUCAGUGUGAAAGGUUUCUGAAAGUCAUUAAAGCUGUUGACCAGGCUCUCCCCUUCUGUGGAAGCACAACUGAAGUGUACACAGGGAUGUGGCUCACAGGGUGCCAAAUGGGAGCUGGCAUGGCCAGGCUGUUCCUUUCCCACUUCCCAGCACUGUGUCUGGGAGCACUCUGGACUGGACCCAGACUUUUUUUCAGAAAUAACUGUGAUCUUCAAUGGAAGGAUGCUGGGGCUUUGGGGUCAAUUUGCAUCUCUUGCAAAUGCCUUAGGAUUUCAUGUUUGUUCUCUGGAUUCCUGAAAAGCCAACAAACCAACAAACCUGGUAAUUUCUGUGGGUUGUUUUUGUGGUUUUUUAUUUGGUUUGGUUUGUUUGUUUGUUUUUUCAUUUCCACCAGGGACAGAAAUUUCUGGCUGAGAAUAUGAGGCCUGAACCCCCCAAAAAGCCAAAACAAACCAAAAUAUGUCUCAGGAAGUAGUGUAACUGCUCUUGCCUAGGUUUUUGUUUAUUCUUAGCUGACUCCAAAAGUGUGCAGAAUUCAAAAGGGGCUACAGAGUGUAAAGUGACAUUCAGUGCAUCAAUGAACAGCUGUAAAAAAGCUUUUCUGCCUUUCCCAGCAGUUAAUAACUUCAUUGCUCAGAACUUAGUUUUUCAGAAAGACCUCAUGUAUUUUUUGGCUGACUGUGAGGACUGGUGAGGAAUGUUCAGUUACAAAUGGGGAGAAAUUUUUUUUUACAAGAAAAACCCCAAAAUCUUCAGACAAACAAGCUUGCUUUCACCAAAGUCUUUGCUCCUGUUGCUGAAAGUGUGCAAGUGCAUAAAGCAGCCUUAUUUGGACGGAGAAGUGUGGAAAUUGGAGUGCAGAACAGGUAGUGUCAGGGCAGUCAAGGUGUCUGUGUGGGACUUUUCCCUCAGACUGGAUAGGGGUGAUUUAUGUGCCUGUGUUGGUAUAAUGGCAAAGAGUAGGUACAACUCAGGGCUGACAUUGCUUGGAAGGAAAGUGUGUUUAUUGCCAGAUUCUGGAUGCUGGCUCUUGCAGAAGAGAGAUGAGUCUGUCUUCUUGGCUCCUAAACCUAUCACAGCUAUGUCCCUUUAUGCAUGUCCCUUGCAAACGUAAAAUCCACUAAAAACCCCAGAUUCUUUCAUCUAAAUACAGUUCUAGGAAAUUACCAUAGUCUCAAUCUGAUAUGCACUCUCCGUUGGACAAUGUUAUUCCUCUUUUGUAAAAAGGGUUUGCUUGUUUACUCAUCCUUCUACCUGCAAUAGAAAAGUUCCAUUGAGUAUAAUAAAAGUUAUGUAUAAAAAAGAAAA
Molecule: long non-coding RNA, 5352 nt
Organism: Parus major (Great Tit)
Lineage: Eukaryota; Metazoa; Chordata; Aves; Passeriformes; Paridae
Exons: 2
Source: RefSeq, a predicted model, not a curated record